Molecule: long non-coding RNA, 3920 nt
Filed under: Mus musculus (house mouse)
Lineage: Eukaryota; Metazoa; Chordata; Mammalia; Rodentia; Muridae
Description: long non-coding RNA chr7:143297697-143301617
Source: RNAcentral
UUUUUUUUCUUUUUCUUUUUCUUUUCUGUUCUUUUUCUCUUUUUUUCUCCUGUUGUUAUUUAGCUGGAGAAAAGAGAAACUGGUGUCAUCCUCUAGCAACAGACAGUUCCUUUUUACCCUCAGAAGCUACUCCUAGCUUGGUACCCCACCUCCUACCAGGCCACACAUCUGCUUUGCCAAUUCCUUUUGGGCCCGUCUGGAACAUGCUGCAUUUGAUUCAAAGGGCCAGUCCUACCCUCCUACCUGAUGGGUGGUUUUCUUUUCUGCCUAUCCCAGAGCAGAUGUGCAGUUAAUGGGGUCCCUCAAGAACCUGUCACCAUCUUUAAAUUCAUCAUAUUAGCUUUGAGCUUGCAUCUUGGAAGUGAAGCCUGGGAUCUUUUGCCACAAAUGGCCCCUUCCACUUCCCCAGCAUAAGUGACUAGGCACCUGCUUCCUGCCAUUGCCAGCCUUCCAAUUGACCUCUAAGAGGGGCAUCAGGGCCACAUGGUAAACGUGGUUAUCUGCUCCCCUUGGCUGAGAUCAGGGAACCCUCUCUGUCUUGUUUCCCAUCUGUCUACUAGAGAUGCUGCUGCUGAACCCCAUGAAGCUGCUAAGCCAGGCACCAAGAGAAUGUGAAGGGGCCAUGGGGCUCUGAUUUGAAACCCUGCUCUUCCUUACUCUAAGCACUGUCCCAGCUUAGCUCUGAGGCCUAAGCCUUUGUUUGCCUCCUCUGGCCUAGAAGGCCAGGCAUUUUCCUUGGAUCCUGUUCCUGCAGGCCUGUUUCUUGCAGGGAAGGUAAGGGGAGUGGAACCCCCAGUUCUUUAGAGACUAUCCACAUGUUUUACCAAAACACAACUCCCAGUAAGAAAUGUAGGCACCUUUUCAAAAUGUUAUGGAUGUUCUUUUUGUUUGGUUGAUUGAUUGGUUUUGUUUUUUCUAGGCAGGGUUUCUCUAUGUAGCCUUGGCUGUCCUGGAACUUGCUCUGUAGACCAGGCUGGACUCUAACUCUUGGAGAUCCUCCUGCCUCUGUCUUCUAACUACUGAAAUUAAAAGUGUGUGUUACCAACCGCCUGUUAUGGAUGUUCUUAAUCCAAACCAAAUGGGUAGAUCUCUGCUGCCUAGGGAAGCUGUGUCUUACAAAGUGCCUUGCUGACCCUCCAGGCCUCACCUGUGGGUUUCCCAAAGGUCUGUUUUAUUCAAAUAUGUGAGUAAGCUCGGAAGCUAACUGAAGCAAGGUCACUUAGAGGAGUGACACCUUCCUGGGAGCUUGAUAGGGAUUCUAUCUUGAUAAUGGGUUGUUUGUUUAUUUGUUUUGGGUUUGUUGUUGUACUUGUUCUGUUCUGUUUUGUUUUCUAAGACAGUGUUUCUUCGAGUAGCCUUGGCUUUCCUGGAACUAGCUCGGUAGACCACGCUGGACUCACACUCACAGAAAUCUGCCUGCCUCUUCCUCCUGAGUGCUGGAAUUAAAGGUUGUAUAUCACAACCUCCCCACCAGGCUGAGAAUAGUUUUGUUUUGGUUUGUUGUUUUAAUUAUGAAAAUUUAGUUUAUUUAAUGGUAUACUUAAAGUCUGAGUUCUAAUUGUGUCUUUAGUCAUGACAUACCCAACAAGUAGAUUCAAGAGUGUCUGUUGUCAGUUUGUAGAUUCUGGGCCCUCAGUUCUGUCCCUAAUCAAUUUCCUUUUGAUGACAUCUGGUAUAUACCUCACUGUGCUUUCAAGAGGUCUCCAUAGGUCAAUCUUUGAAGUCGGUUAGGCCAAAAAACCUGUCCUUUUCCUUUGGGUCAUAGGCUCAAUUGACACCACCCUCUUCCGGAUCAUGGGGUGCUGUCAAACAACUAGCUCUGCCUGUCAAGCUCAGUAUAGCUGCUAUAUGCCACCCCCAAACCCUGCCUCUCUACUCUUUUCAGGGAGACCAGAGAGGAUAGAGCUUGAUCUGAAUGUAUUUGAUGUCUCAUUGAGAAACAAGACGUAUAGGUGUUUCUGGAGAGAAAUGGGAGACCUGGGUCGAUUCCAGACUGAUUGGAGGGAGAAUAGAGCUGGUCUGAGGAAUCAAAGAAUUUGGGGGAAAGGCAGCAGUCAUGGCUCUGAGGGUUGUACUAGUCCCUUCCCAGGCCGGGGCCAGCCUAGCUGAUCUGUGAUCAGGGUUGUCUUUGGGUAUAGUGCCUACAUUUCCUUCCCUUCCAGAGGCUAAGGGCUGUGGGGAUGAGGAUGCUGAGGCAGAAGCAGAGAGCCCAGCACCUGGUGCUCUGUACUUGGGCUUCCAUGUGACAGAGGCAGGUCUUGUCCUCCUCCUGUAUCUGGUUUAUGUCAUCUGAACAUAGUGGGGGCUGGACUUAACGUUCCUUGUGUUCCCUCCAACUCCAACAUUUGGGGUUCAAAAGGUUCCCUCGCAGGCCUCUGCAUCCGAGAACACGCACACAUACAUGCACGCACACACAGCUGAAGAGAAUUAGGCUGCAAACGGCCACUCGGCUUUUCUCUUGAUUCCAAGGUAUUUAGAGUGGGGGUGGGGGAUGAGGGGGAGGAAGUUGCUGAGCUAAUUCUUCGGCAUUUGCCAGCACAGAAGUGCAGAUGGGGCCCAGAGCCCCAUGGGGUCCCAAGGGAAACACCAGAUCUCUUCCACACAGGCAAGGAAGGAGAAAGGGCUGCAGUGGGAGCCCCUCAUCCAAGCAGCAACUCAGCAGGCCCUGGCCAAGGGGUUCUGUGGGCCUCACUUCUCCCCACCCCCAUCCCUAGAGUCUAAGGAUAGAACUAGCUUCAGCCAGGUUACCAAGUUACUGCUUUUCUCCAAAGCAGAGAGGCCCAGGGCCACGUGGCUGCCUGGUUAGGCCAUCUUCUGGGAACAGGCGUUGCUGUAUGCUGUAGUCUGCACUCAACGGGGACCCCAUGUUAUCUCUGAGUGGCCAUUUGCAAAGCUAGGAAAGCCAUUCUUAAGGUUCACCCUUGCAGACAUUAUCCACAGACUCCACAGCCCCUCCUCAUUUCCCUGUUAAUGCUCAAACAUGUGCAUGUGGACAUCUCACGCUUGCACACACACACACACACACACACACAGUCUCUGUCUGUCACUGUCUGUCUCUGUCUCUGUCUUUCUCUCUUUUUCUCUCUCUCUCUCUGCAGACCUAGGUGAGCUCCCUGUAAUUUUCCGCAUAGUCAAUGUGUUUGCUGCAGAGCCUUCCUCUUCCCACAACCUCUCUGUCUCUUGAGCCUACACUCCAUCUGGAUCUCCCCACCAAUGUGUCUUUGUGGACCUGCUGAUAACUCCCCAUCCAUCCUUGAGGUUCACAGAUCUACUUUUCUCCUGCAGAUGCUGGCCAAUGUCCCUGUGGCCCUUGUCCCCUUGUUCUGUCUGCAUCCCUCCUACAAUGAGCAGGUUCUGGGCAUUGCCCUGUAGGCCGAGGUUGGAGGUAAGGGACAAUGAGCAAUCUUUAGGGACUCCUUAGAGGGAACUUUCCUAGAAAGAUUUCUCUGGCUGCUGGAUAGAAAGACUGAAGGGUGUGCUCAGUGGGUUCUGUGGGAGAUUUGACUUUCUGCAGUGGGAAAGGAGGUGAUUUUAGAGGAAGGUAGUAUCCAUGAAAGUGAGAAGGACUGGACUAGGGGUAUCUUCAUGAAGAGGUGACCUUGAUUAGACUUUGUAGCUAAGGUUAGACCUUUAGCCAAGUGGUAAUGUUGUGGCAGUGGGCAAGCGGGCAAGCAUGCAGGAAAGUAAGGGUCAAUGUCAAUGCUAUGUCUUAAGAAAGUCAUGGCCUGGGGCUGGAGAGAUAGCUCAGCAAUUAAGAGCACUGGCUACUCUUUCUGAGGUGGGUUGAAUUCCUAGUAUCUACAUGGUACUUCGUAACUAUUUGUAACUCCAGUUCUGGAGUGUCUGACACCCUCUUUGCCUUCAUGUAUCAGGCAUGCAUAGACAUGCAUGCAUGUAAAGUACCAAAACACAUAAAAUAU